RNAcentral lists this long non-coding RNA (2176 nucleotides) under Nicotiana benthamiana. RNAcentral describes it as "long non-coding RNA (NBEN_LNC042282)". Lineage: Eukaryota; Viridiplantae; Streptophyta; Magnoliopsida; Solanales; Solanaceae. The record is from RNAcentral.
UUAUACAACACCAUUCUUAAACUAACAUUCAUAUUUCCUAUUGUUAAUAAUCUACGAACGAUGAAGCUAUUUCGAGCAAAAGGGAUUUGUACUAAACUAUUAUACAGUGGCAUUCCAUAAUCUAUGUUUCUUGAACAUUAACUACCAAUCUACUGAAUCUAUAUAACAACAUUCCCUGAUAAUGAACAUGAAUUGUUACAACUUAGUAUCAAGAACCAUGCCAAUAACUACACUACUAGAAAUCAACAAUUACAAUAGGUGACCAUUUUCAACUGAUAAAAUUUAAAAUAAGGCCAUGCACUAGCCAAAUUCCCUAGCUUAUCUAACACUUUGACUUCUCACUUCUUUAGGCCACAAAUCUAACAAGAAAUCUCCAGAACUUCACAUGAAUACAAUAACAGUAAACAAAUCUUAGCAAUCAUGAAUCAAAAUAUAGAACUGAUAUUGUUUUAUCACUCAGAUUACUAACCUGUACGAGGGUUUAUCAAACCAUUUUUUUAAUCUGUAUUCAUAUUUCCAGUCCAAACACAAAGGAAUAUCCAGCACAUAUGUGAACUAACAAGACAGCAGAAAUUUUAAAACCAUGUGAUAUUCAGAUAACUAUUACAUUAUUUGAAGCUGUCAGCACAUACCUUAACAACAGCAAAGAAAUAAAAGAAGAGAAUAAGUCUCUGAAAAUUGGGAAGAAAGCAGCAGCAAGAAACAACUCAGUAACAGGAAAUUAACAAGAUCUAAAGAACUAAGCAGCUGAUUUGAAACCCCACAUGACUUGAAUAAACAAGUAGAAAAUGAAGAGAAAAACCAACUUUUCUUUUUGUGUUUUGUAGCUGUGUAUUAACUCCUUGUGAGUGUUUUCUUUUUUAGAGAAAACAAAAGUGCAGAGAGCCCCUUUUGUAUAGAAAUCAGUCUAUAUUUUUGAAAAAUCUGAGUGCUUAACUUGUGUGAAUGAUGGAGUGUGAGUCCCUUUUUAUAGAAGGUGAGAGCGCAAUAGAGAAGGGUGUGGGAAUAUCCUGCAGCUCCCUAAAAUCAGGGAAAUAGCAUCUUCUGUAACAGAAAAUGGACAGCUGUUGCGAUAACUGUCCAUUCAGAUAUUUACUCACAUUGUUUUAACCCUUUUACUUCUGAAUUUAACCCUUUAAACCCCAAAAUCUGAUUUAAUUCAGUUGGUUUAUUACAUUUUAGUCCUUUCAGGAAGUUUCCUACACAAAUGUUCAAACUCCUGAUUUUCUGAUUUUUUUUUUGCCCCUUUAAGAUUUCUGUUAUUACCCCUUCACCAUUUAACUUUUGUUAAUUAUAAACCACUAAUAUAAGAAUUUUAUCAAGAAUUAACAGUCCCAACAAAGCAAAGAAAGGUCGUAUUCCAAUGUAUUUCUGGGUGGUUCAGCCUUCACACUUGCAACUAAACUGAAUGUUAUGCACUUGAACUAUUAUUCCACCACAAGAUUAAUGAGUUUUAAAUCUAAAACAUGUUAACAUACGGGAAACACACUAAUGAAUCAACUGUUUAUCCAAUCCUAUUAAAUGACUACCAAUUGACAAUCUAAUGAAAUCAAAAAUAAACUAAAACAUUUUGUUAAUUGAACUAAACAUAAUCUAUAACAUGUAACACAAAUUAUCAGUCAUCUAGAUCAAAAUGGACAGGUACAUAAAAUGAAAAGAAGAAUCAGAAAGGAACAUUCCAACUGAGCGACCAUCGUUAAGAAAUCUGACCAAUGGUCGAUCUUGUUACACGAGCACUAAUUUAUGCUUGAAGGGUAGAAAUAUUGUUACAUUGAGCGAUGACGACCACAACCAUCCAAGAUGUGGAACGGCCAAAUAAAAGGGUCACGAGAUGACAUGAGACCAACCUUUGGUAACUCCUAAAACGAACCAACCACUGGUCGGCCUAAUCUAAAAGAAAAAUCAAAUGGGGAAUACUAGGGCUUCGGGGGUUUUCUGGAUCUGAAAUCUAGAGAAUUUGGUGGAGUUUUGGGGAAAAUUGAUGGUUGAUUAAUGGCGAGGACGAGGUGGGGAGUGUGGGGGUGUGAAUUUGAGCGGAUUUAGAGGGUGCACCACCGUAGGCGAUUUUCAGUGAGCGGUAGACAGUGGUGAGAGGCAAGGGUGAGAGAGAGAGAGUUAUGGGAGUGGUUUUUAGGCUUUUGGGGGGAGGGGGGGUUAGACAAGUAUAAGGGGAAAG